This 702-nucleotide ribosomal RNA is filed under the name uncultured Bacteroidota bacterium. RNAcentral describes it as "bacterial SSU rRNA". It matches the Rfam family "Bacterial small subunit ribosomal RNA", at positions 10 to 699 of the family's 1533-position model. The record is from RNAcentral. Lineage: Bacteria; Pseudomonadati; Bacteroidota.
AGAUUGAUCCUGGCUAGGGAUGAACGCUAGCUACAGGCUUAACACAUGCAAGUCGAGGGGCAGCAUGAAGUUUGCUUGCAAACUUUGAUGGCGACCGGCGCACGGGUGAGUAACGCGUAUCCAACCUUCCCCAUAGUAGGGGAUAGCCCGGAGAAAUCCGGAUUAAUACCCUAUGUUCUUCGUCGAGGACAUCUGAAAUGAAGCAAAGGUUCACCGCUAUGGGAUGGGGAUGCGUCUGAUUAGGCAGUCGGCGGGGUAACGGCCCACCGAGCCGACGAUCAGUAGGGGUUCUGAGAGGAAGGUCCCCCACAUUGGAACUGAGACACGGUCCAAACUCCUACGGGAGGCAGCAGUGAGGAAUAUUGGUCAAUGGCCGAGAGGCUGAACCAGCCAAGUAGCGUGCAGGACGACGGCCCUAUGGGUUGUAAACUGCUUUUAUGCGGGGAUAAAGUUCACUACGUGUAGUGUUUUGCAGGUACCGCAUGAAUAAGGACCGGCUAAUUCCGUGCCAGCAGCCGCGGUAAUACGGAAGGUCCGGGCGUUAUCCGGAUUUAUUGGGUUUAAAGGGAGCGCACGCUGAUUAUUAAGCGUGACAUGAAAUGUAGCCGCUCAACGGCUGACCUGCGUCGCGAACUGGUAGUCUUGAGUGAGUUCGAUGUGGGCGGGAAUUCGUGGUGUAGCGGGUGAAAUGCUUAGAUAUCA